Long non-coding RNA from Catharus ustulatus (Swainson's thrush), 576 nucleotides. RefSeq lists it as uncharacterized. NCBI's taxonomy places the organism in Eukaryota, Metazoa, Chordata, Aves, Passeriformes, Turdidae. The transcript is spliced from 3 exons. The record is from RefSeq and is a predicted model, not a curated record.
CAGGAUGUGGGGUGUUAAGAGUUGCUCCCCUUACCUGCUUGGUAAGGCAGCCAAAAAUAAUCUCUAGGCUACUGAGGCAAUAUAGGGUUAACAUUUAGUAAGCAGAUUCAGUCAUCCAUAUUGAUAUCCCAGACUGCUGCCAAUGGAGACAGAGGGAUCAAAGCUCUUCAAAAGCUGAUCAUUAUUUCCAGGCAUGUUUGAGUCUGAGACUGAAGACGAAUAUGACUGAGUUAAAAAGAGAAUGGAAGGACUCAAGAACAGGUGUAGGUUUCAUACCUGUAAUUAUACCUACAAAAGCAUUGUCGUGGAGGUGGAAAAAAACUGACCCUAAUCAUCUGAAAGAACAUGGCUCAUAGAAAGAUGAGAGAAGGAGGCAAGAAAAAUGGAAGAACAGAAGAGGGAAAUGAGAAAAAGGCAGGCGAUGCCAAGAGGGGAAGCUGCAAAGGAAAGAAAUAGUCAUUAGCAUCACACUGGAAAAGAGAAACAGAACUUCAACUUAGCAUUUAUUAUGUGUUUUGUUUCCAAACUAGUUAGUAAAUGUUUUUCAUUUUAAAACAGACAUGGUAGCCUCCUUCA